Molecule: non-coding RNA, 45 nt
Filed under: Schistosoma haematobium
Lineage: Eukaryota; Metazoa; Platyhelminthes; Trematoda; Strigeidida; Schistosomatidae
Source: RNAcentral
AUUUAGCUGACGAGUCCCCAAUAGGAGGAAACACUUGUCCUUGAU